RNAcentral lists this unclassified non-coding RNA (21 nucleotides) under Mus musculus (house mouse). RNAcentral describes it as "oocyte_clustered_small_RNA5905". Lineage: Eukaryota; Metazoa; Chordata; Mammalia; Rodentia; Muridae. The record is from RNAcentral.
AUCUUCUAGCCCAAAGGUCCA